Molecule: long non-coding RNA, 419 nt
Filed under: Oryctolagus cuniculus (rabbit)
Lineage: Eukaryota; Metazoa; Chordata; Mammalia; Lagomorpha; Leporidae
Description: lncRNA (ENSOCUG00000032253.1)
Source: RNAcentral
GGGAGCGGGGGAGCACAGCUGACAGGAAGAGAAAGCCAAGGGCAGCGCCGCGGGCACACCCACGGCGAGGAGCUGAGAGCGGGCGAUGCCAGCGCGGAAGCGAGCUGUCAGAAACCGGGAGGAGGCGAGGAAGACGUGGGAAAGUGCAGUGUCAUGGAGACCCAGGCAGGAGGCGUGGCCAGCCGCGCGCCGGGAGGCAGUGCUGAGGUCUGGCUGUGCAGAUGGCAGAGAGGAAGCUGUCGUGGUGGUGCCGUAGGUUAAGUCUGCACCCGAGUACUCGUCUGAGUCCUGGCCGCUCUGCUUCUGAUCCCGGGAAAGCAGUGAGGACGUGAGCUUGUGCCCCUGCCACCCACAUAGGAGACCACAAUGGAGUUCAGGCUCCUGGCUUCAGCCUGUCCCAACCCUGGCUGUUGCAGACA